Molecule: ribosomal RNA, 1810 nt
Filed under: human gut metagenome
Description: bacterial LSU rRNA
Rfam family: Bacterial large subunit ribosomal RNA
Source: RNAcentral
UAAGCACUUAAGGUGUGGAGCCGUAGCGAAAGCGAGUCUUAAAUGGGCGAUUAAGUUACUUGGCGUAGACCCGAAACCGGGCGACCUAUCCAUGAGCAGGUUGAAGCGAAAGUAAAAUUUCGUGGAGGACCGAACCCACGAGCGUUGAAAAGCUCGGGGAUGACUUGUGGAUAGCGGUGAAAUUCCAAUCGAGCCCGGAGAUAGCUGGUUCUCCCCGAAAUAGCUUUAGGGCUAGCCUCAAGCGUAGAGAAACGGAGGUAGAGCACUGAAUGUCCUAGGGGGUAUUGCACUUACCGAAGACUAUCAAACUCCGAAUGCCGUUUUCUUUUACUUGGGAGUCAGACUGUGGGUGAUAAGAUUCAUAGUCAAAAGGGCAACAGCCCAGAUCGUCAGCUAAGGUCCCUAAAUGUACGUUAAGUGGUAAAGGAUGUGGGAUUGCACAGACAACCAGGAUGUUGGCUUAGAAGCAGCCACUCAUUUAAAGAGUGCGUAAUAGCUCACUGGUCGAGUGAUCCUGCGCCGAAAAUUUCCGGGGCUAAAACGUACUACCGAAGCUACGGCAUCAUUUAUGAUGGGUAGGGGAGCUUCGUAUGCAGGCUGAAGCAUGACCGUAAGGACAUGUGGACAGUAUACGAGUGAGAAUGUUGGCAUGAGUAGCGAGACGUGGGUGAGAAUCCCACGGGCCGUAAACCCAAGGUUUCCAGGGGAAGGUUCGUCCGCCCUGGGUUAGUCGGGACCUAAGCCGAGGCCGAAAGGCGUAGGUGAUGGACAACAGGUUGAUAUUCCUGUACCGCCAAUAAGCGUUUGAGAGAUGGAGUGACACAGUAGGAUAAGCUAACCGUACUGUUGGUUAUGUACGGCUAAGCAUUGAGGCAGUCUAAAUAGGCAAAUCCGUUUAGACAAUGCUAGGAUGUGAUGGGGAAGCCCUUCGGGGCGAAGUAGCUGAUUUCACACUGUCAAGAAAAGCUUCUAUCGAGUUUAAAGGCGCCCGUACCGUAAACCGACACAGGUGGGUGAGGAGAGUAUCCUAAGGCCAGCGAGAGAACUAUUGUUAAGGAACUCGGCAAAAUGACCCCGUAACUUAGGGAGAAGGGGUGCCUGUCUAUGACAGGCCGCAGAGAAUAGGCCCAAGCGACUGUUUACCAAAAACACAGGUUUCUGCUAAGUCGCAAGACGAUGUAUAGGAGCUGACGCCUGCCCGGUGCUGGAAGGUUAAGGGGAUCUGUUAGAGCAAUCGAAGCAGUGAACUUAAGCCCCAGUAAACGGCGGCCGUAACUAUAACGGUCCUAAGGUAGCGAAAUUCCUUGUCGGGUAAGUUCCGACCCGCACGAAAGGCGUAACGAUUUGGGCACUGUCUCAACAAUAGACUCGGUGAAAUUGUAAUCCCGGUGAAGAUGCCGGGUACCUGCGACAGGACGGAAAGACCCCAUGGAGCUUUACUGUAGCUUGACGUUGGGUCUUGGUACUACAUGUACAGGAUAGGUGGGAGACUAUGAAGCAUGGACGCCAGUCUGUGUGGAGUCAUCCUUGGGAUACCACCCUUGUAGUACUGGGAUCCUAACCAUAGGCCUUGAAUCAGGUCUUGGAACACCGUCAGGUGGGCAGUUUGACUGGGGCGGUCGCCUCCUAAAAAGUAACGGAGGCGCUCAAAGGUUUCCUCAGCACGGUCGGAAAUCGUGCGAAGAGUGUAAAGGCAAAAGGAAGCUUGAUUGCAAGACAUACAGGUCGAGCAAGGACGAAAGUCGGACUUAGUGAUCCGGUGGUACCGCAUGGAAGGGCCAUCGCUCAACGGAUAAAAGCUACCCUGGGG